Molecule: RNA transcript, 2421 nt
Organism: Syngnathus typhle (broad-nosed pipefish)
Lineage: Eukaryota; Metazoa; Chordata; Actinopteri; Syngnathiformes; Syngnathidae
Gene: anxa14
Gene name: annexin A14
Exons: 15
Source: RefSeq, a predicted model, not a curated record
GCUGGUGUGCAAGGGAGUCUGGCUCAGAAAGAUCAAAUUUCCUUAAGAAUGAGGUCUUCCUAUGCUUUCAGUAUUUCAAUAGCUUUUUUUCAGGUUAUUCUGACAAAUAAAAAAUCUGCAAGAAAAAAUUGAUUGUAGAUAUGAGCAGGUUCUAAGCUAAAUUAAUCUGUACUAUGCAUUUAAUGGUAACUCAGAGAAUGUGUAGAACGUCCCAGGUGAGUGCUGGAGGUGUGGCAGGGUGGGACGAGGCUGAUAACUUGAGGUUGUUUGAAGAAAGAAAAAAAUUAGUUCACUACUUAACAGUGCUGUAACAAACUGGGCCACAGGAUUCUAUCGCAGGUAUUUAAAACAACGCGAUGGAUCGAGAGUACUACAAGUCUCAUACAAUGUCCUGGGGUACCCUUGGAACUGUGCGACCUUUCUCCGGUUUCCAACCACAAAGAGAUGUCAUUCAAAUCCAAAAAGCAAUGGAGAAGAAAGAUGCUGCCCCUCUUGUCCGAAUCCUAACAAAUCGCAAUAAUGCUCAAAGGCAGCAUAUUGCCAAAAUAUACAAAGACACAACACAACAGAACCUAAUAGCUGGCCUGAAAAAAGUUCUGUCUGGAGAUCUGGAAGCUCUCAUGUUGGAAUUGAUGAUGCCUCCCUCGCAGCAUGAGGCUUAUCGCCUACAACAGGCCAUGGCUGGUUUAGGCACAGACGAGGAAACACUUCUGGAGAUUAUGUGUACAAGAUCAGGCAAAGAACUUCGAGACAUCAGUGCUGCAUAUAAAGAAAGUUACUGCUUCAUUUAUUUUUCAGUGUAUAAAAAGGACCUGGAGAAGGAAGCCAAAGGAGAAACCAGUGGAGACUUUGCUAAACUCAUAGUAGCUCUGAUCAAUAAAGAAGAUGUCACAGGUUUUGUUCAAAAGGACAUUGAGUCUCUUUUGGCAUCACUAAACAAGAAAAAAGCUGAUGCAGCUCCUUGGAUUGAUAUUCUCACAUCGAGAGACUUAACUCACCUUAACAAAGUUCUGAUGGGACUGGAACUGGAAAGUGGACACAUGAUGAUUCCAGCUCUGGAGAAAAUAUUCUCCGGGGAUAUUCGUCUGGGUUUGACUGUUCUAGUGGAGUGCAUUCAAAACCCUGAUGCGUACCUUGCCAAAAGAUUAACCAGCAUGAAGGCACCAAUAGUGCAAGGCAUAAUGGUGUCCCACAGUGAGAAAGAUCUACUCAGUAUCAGAGUGGCGUUUCUUAAAAUGACAGGAACUUCUCUCUACACGACCCUGCAGGUGGGGUCAAAGGACCUGGUUCCUGCAACAUGGAUCAACUGAUGAAGAUGCUCACCAGGACCGGAGCAGGGCCGCAUGCUGCAACACUUUUGCUUUCUGGUUUAUUCUACGAGGCAACCUGAGAAGUCCAGUGUGAUGAUGUUGUGCACCAUGUGCGUGAUAUCUGUGAUAUCAGAUAGGUGGGUUCACACGUGGCCACCUUGUGGUACAAUGUGACAUUGCACAUCAGCAGGUGCACUACAUGGUUGUUUCCAUUUUGCCCAGGGAGGCCAGAUUCGUCACAUCCUUUAACUCCCGUCAAUUGGAUUAAGAAGCUCUCUUGCGGGACAACAAUGACUUGACAUGCGCAGUAAACCAAUCAGAGCAACAAUCCUCCCCCCCCCCCCGUCGGCGCCCCGUUUCAACCGCACCAAUUUAUGACUUCCAGGUUGGGGAGAAGCCAAGAGCUAUCCAUUCAGUCCACAACAAUCCAUAGCCAAUCUGAUUGUGGGGCGCUCGCUCUCAUCCAUCUAUCACUGCAUUUGGAACGCAUGAGCCAACACCUGUUCAGUAAGUGAUGAGUCAACAGCGUGACGGGAAAGCAAGAUCAUGUCAAACGGGAUGUUUACACGAUGGAUGCCUUCGAGCGGCGUUACUGGACCGUAUGUGGGAUAUAUUGGGGGCUUGUUGAGGGGGGUCUGCUAAAAAUAUCCACUUCAUAAUCAUAACAUGGCAUGCAAAGUAUGACAUGGGUGGAGUAUGGCGGGUAAAUUUCGAUAAUCAUUUUGAAGAUCCGCAGUGGAAAACGUAUUUAUUACUGCAACCAGCCACCACUCUCCAUUUACUUCAAUUGCUUCAAGUCAUCUACAAUCAAUUGCAUAUGAUCUAGUAAACUUGGAAUGAUCUUUUAAAUCUAAUUAAAUUUUAUUCUUAGUUUUUUUUACUCAAAUUAAUGUAGUGCUUAAUAGCUGUGAUUGGCAUAUUAUUUAUUGUUAAAUUCUUGCUGCAUGUAAAACAGGUUUUUAUCAAACUUGUGAGACCUGGAAGUCAACCUGUGCACAAAAAUAUCUUAUUUCAAGUUUUUUGUUUGUUUGAUUCCACAUCGCCGCGCCAUAAAAAUCUGCUUAGCUUUUGAUAGAUGAUGGUCAGUCUGGGAAUAAAGAGCUACAACCUC